CAGCACCUCAAGUGGUCAGGAUGAUUAUUGGGCCUAAAGCAUCCGUAGCCGGCGCUGUAAGUUUUCGGUUAAAUCUGUACGCUCAACGUACAGGCUGCCGGGAAUACUGCAGCGCUAGGGAGUGGGAGAGGUGGACGGUACUCGGUAGGAAGGGGUAAAAUCCUUUGAUCUAUUGAUGGCCACCUGUGGCGAAGGCGGUCUACCAGAACACGUCCGACGGUGAGGGAUGAAAGCUGGGGGAGCAAACCGGAUUAGAUACCCGAGUAGUCC
Molecule: ribosomal RNA, 270 nt
Filed under: uncultured archaeon
Lineage: Archaea
Description: partial 16S ribosomal RNA
Rfam family: Archaeal small subunit ribosomal RNA
Source: RNAcentral